GGAAGGUUUGAAUUCAAAUUGAAUAGAGGUUUCAGAAGAAAGAAGAGAAAAUAUGUUUUUUUCAUCAUGUCCUCGACUAUCUGGAAAUUUCAGAGGUAGCUGCACUACUUGACAUGUAGGUGGGAGGUCACUUGGAACUGUUUCAUUCAAGUGGUUAUAGUAGAAUUUGUAAUCUUUGCAUCCGUGGUGGCUUCUGUAACUAUGUUGCUUAAAAUAAGUAUCUGUUUGUUGAGCAUUAGUGAGAUUUUCUGUGCAUUUGUAUAGAGUGAUGAGGGGAAAUAUUGACAUGGAAUACAAAAGAGGGCUUGGAGAAGUGAAAUUAUUCAUAAGCGCCUCACAACUAUGAUUUUUCAAAAGAUCUUCAAAUGUUUUGUUACUGAUGAUGACUAUAUUAUGACCCUCAUCCUUGCCAACAAUCUCAUACCACCGUCCUCCAAGUUGAAUCUCCCCACCUUUGGAAGUACAAUUGACCUUGAUCAACCCACAUCGUGGGUCUGUGACAUUGUAAAACGGAUACUUGAAUGAGGGAAAAGCUGCGCAAGCUGGACACUUGA
RNAcentral lists this long non-coding RNA (554 nucleotides) under Helianthus annuus (common sunflower). RNAcentral describes it as "sRNA HanXRQr2_Chr15g0689041". Lineage: Eukaryota; Viridiplantae; Streptophyta; Magnoliopsida; Asterales; Asteraceae. The record is from RNAcentral.